AAUAUUAGGAGAUGGGACACAAUAAGUGGGUAGCUUCUCGUGGGUCUUUCAGCUCGCGCCACCAUUUCAUCUCUCCCUCUCCUUUCCGUCUCUUGUUCCCGAGAGGAAAGAAAACCCUAGAUCGUUGCUCCGUCUCUCUCGUUCUCAUCUGUAAAAAGUUGAGGAAAAAUAUCAGCUAUCUUUUAAGAUCGCUGCUACUCCCUCUCCCUCUUGCACCUCAUCUUAAGAUUUGGGGGAAAAAACACUAGGUCUCCUUAUGUUCCUAAAGAUCUCUCUUUUCAAGCGAAUCGGAGUUCGGAUUUGUGCUUUUUCCGAACCUGGUGGUUCCUGUUGUUGAAAUCAAAGCAAAUAGGAAGAUGGAUAAUGUUGAGGAGGAGAUGAUGAUGAGGAUUGUAUCUGGGGUGCUAUGACGGUGUUACUAAUGAUGGUUACUUUUAUAAAGAGAUUACAAUCUAGACAAAGGUGUAUCACUCAUGUACCUAGAUUAGAAAAGAUAGUGAAUUGAAGGUACAAAUUUGCACAAUUGUCUAGGACAUUCAAAGGUUAUUCUACUAGUUGUAAAGACUAUGUAAGAAUGCGUAAAGUUACAUUUGACAAGCUUAUAACUUUGAUGAGGAUAGAUGUCCAACUUAAAGACUCUAGGCACAUUAUGGUUGGAGAACAACUUGUAAUAUCCUUGAAUAAAUUGGGUCAUAAAACUAAAAAUAGGGUACUAAGAUCUAACUUCAUUUGGUCGGGAGAAACAAUUAGUAGAUACUUCAAUAAGGCUUUGUACGCCAUUUGUCAAUUGCGUGUCCGUUACGUUCGACAAGCACCAAAUCAAGUGCCAUCAGAGAUUGCCAACAACCCUCGAUAUUAUCCUUACUUCAAGAUGGAACACACAUUGAUGCUAUGCUACCUGGUAAUCUUGUAGCACAUUUUAGAAGUUGCAAAGGGGUGACACAGAAUGUUCUUGUGGCUUGCACCCCAAACAAAUUAUUCACAUACAUGCUAGCAGGAUGAGAGAGCUCAGCUAACGAUUAUAGAGUCCUUCAAGUGCACUUUCAAGACCACAACCUCAUGGAUU
This is a long non-coding RNA of Asparagus officinalis (garden asparagus), 1066 nucleotides long. RefSeq lists it as uncharacterized. The record is from RefSeq and is a predicted model, not a curated record. The transcript is spliced from 3 exons. NCBI's taxonomy places the organism in Eukaryota, Viridiplantae, Streptophyta, Magnoliopsida, Asparagales, Asparagaceae.